This 206-nucleotide ribosomal RNA is filed under the name uncultured bacterium. RNAcentral's name for it is "partial 16S ribosomal RNA". It matches the Rfam family "Bacterial small subunit ribosomal RNA", at positions 568 to 774 of the family's 1533-position model. The record is from RNAcentral.
UACGUAGGCGGUUAAAUAAGUCAGGUGUAAAAGGCAUUGGCUUAACCAAUGUAAGCACUUGAAACUGUUUGACUUGAGUAUAGGAGAGGUAAGUGGAAUUCCUAGUGUAGCGGUGAAAUGCGUAGAUAUUAGGAGGAACACCAGUGGCGAAGGCGACUUACUGGACUAUUACUGACGCUGAGGUACGAAAGCGUGGGGAGCAAACA